Molecule: ribosomal RNA, 1236 nt
Filed under: Escherichia coli
Lineage: Bacteria; Pseudomonadati; Pseudomonadota; Gammaproteobacteria; Enterobacterales; Enterobacteriaceae
Description: partial 23S ribosomal RNA
Rfam family: Bacterial large subunit ribosomal RNA
Source: RNAcentral
GGUUAAGCGACUAAGCGUACACGGUGGAUGCCCUGGCAGUCAGAGGCGAUGAAGGACGUGCUAAUCUGCGAUAAGCGUCGGUAAGGUGAUAUGAACCGUUAUAACCGGCGAUUUCCGAAUGGGGAAACCCAGUGUGAUUCGUCACACUAUCAUUAACUGAAUCCAUAGGUUAAUGAGGCGAACCGGGGGAACUGAAACAUCUAAGUACCCCGAGGAAAAGAAAUCAACCGAGAUUCCCCCAGUAGCGGCGAGCGAACGGGGAGCAGCCCAGAGCCUGAAUCAGUGUGUGUGUUAGUGGAAGCGUCUGGAAAGGCGCGCGAUACAGGGUGACAGCCCCGUACACAAAAAUGCACAUACUGUGAGCUCGAUGAGUAGGGCGGGACACGUGGUAUCCUGUCUGAAUAUGGGGGGACCAUCCUCCAAGGCUAAAUACUCCUGACUGACCGAUAGUGAACCAGUACCGUGAGGGAAAGGCGAAAAGAACCCCGGCGAGGGGAGUGAAAAAGAACCUGAAACCGUGUACGUACAAGCAGUGGGAGCCUCUUUAUGGGGUGACUGCGUACCUUUUGUAUAAUGGGUCAGCGACUUAUAUUCUGUAGCAAGGUUAACCGAAUAGGGGAGCCGAAGGGAAACCGAGUCUUAACUGGGCGUUAAGUUGCAGGGUAUAGACCCGAAACCCGGUGAUCUAGCCAUGGGCAGGUUGAAGGUUGGGUAACACUAACUGGAGGACCGAACCGACUAAUGUUGAAAAAUUAGCGGAUGACUUGUGGCUGGGGGUGAAAGGCCAAUCAAACCGGGAGAUAGCUGGUUCUCCCCGAAAGCUAUUUAGGUAGCGCCUCGUGAAUUCAUCUCCGGGGGUAGAGCACUGUUUCGGCAAGGGGGUCAUCCCGACUUACCAACCCGAUGCAAACUGCGAAUACCGGAGAAUGUUAUCACGGGAGACACACGGCGGGUGCUAACGUCCGUCGUGAAGAGGGAAACAACCCAGACCGCCAGCUAAGGUCCCAAAGUCAUGGUUAAGUGGGAAACGAUGUGGGAAGGCCCAGACAGCCAGGAUGUUGGCUUAGAAGCAGCCAUCAUUUAAAGAAAGCGUAAUAGCUCACUGGUCGAGUCGGCCUGCGCGGAAGAUGUAACGGGGCUAAACCAUGCACCGAAGCUGCGGCAGCGACGCUUAUGCGUUGUUGGGUAGGGGAGCGUUCUGUAAGCCUGUGAAGGUGUACUGUGAGGUAUGCUGGA